AUAUGCAUGCAGUCGAACGAAUCCCAGAUUUUGUAGCAAUACAGAGCUGGGGGAACUGUCGAAAGGGGCAGUAAUGCGUGGGUAACCUACCUCCGGGACGUGGAUAGCCAUUCUAACGAGUGGGUAAUACGCGGCGAUUUGAUUGAGGGGCAUCCCUUGGUCAGGAAAUGAAUUUCGCCUGAAGAGGGGCUCACGUGAUAUUAGCUAGUUGGUAGGGUAACGGCCUACCAAGGCAAAGAUGUCUAGCGGGUGUGAGAGCACGACCCGCGCCACUGGCACUGAGACACUGGCCAGACACCUACGGGUGGCUGCAGUCGAGGAUCUUUGGCAAUGAGCGCAAGCUUGACCAAGCGACGCCGCGUGUGCGAUGAAGGCCUUCGGGUUGUAAAGCACUGUCGAGGAGGACGAAGCCGCAAGGUUGACCGAUCCCUGGAGGAAGCACGGGCUAAGUUCGUGCCAGCAGCCGCGGUAAGACGAACCGUGCGAACGUUGUUCGGAAUCACUGGGCUUAAAGGGCGCGUAGGCGGCUUGCCAAGUCAGUGGUGAAAUCCUGCAGCUUAACUGCAGAAGUGCCUUUGAUACUGGCGAGCUAGAGGGAGGUAGGGGUAUGUGGAACUUCUGGUGGAGCGGUGAAAUGCGUUGAUAUCAGAAGGAACGCCGGUGGCGAAAGCGACGUACUGGACCUCUUCUGACGCUGAGGCGCGAAAGCUAGGGGAGCAAACGGGAUUAGAUACCCCGGUAGUCCUAGCCCUAAACGUUGGGUACUAGGUUGUGGACUAACAUGGGUUCACAGCCGAAGCAAAAGUGUUAAGUACCCCGCCUGGGGAGUAUGGUCGCAAGGCUGAAACUCAAAGGAAUUGACGGGGGCUCACACAAGCGG
This 880-nucleotide ribosomal RNA is filed under the name uncultured soil bacterium. Its description in RNAcentral is "bacterial SSU rRNA". It matches the Rfam family "Bacterial small subunit ribosomal RNA", at positions 49 to 932 of the family's 1533-position model. The record is from RNAcentral.